This 567-nucleotide ribosomal RNA is filed under the name uncultured bacterium. RNAcentral's name for it is "bacterial SSU rRNA". It matches the Rfam family "Bacterial small subunit ribosomal RNA", at positions 222 to 803 of the family's 1533-position model. The record is from RNAcentral.
AGGAUGGGCCCGCAUCUGAUUAGCUGGUUGGUGAGAUAACGGCUCACCAAGGCGACGAUCAGUAGCCGACCUGAGAGGGUGAUCGGCCACAUUGGGACUGAGACACGGCCCAAACUCCUACGGGAGGCAGCAGUGGGGAAUAUUGCACAAUGGGGGAAACCCUGAUGCAGCAACGCCGCGUGAAGGAAGAAGGUUUUCGGAUCGUAAACUUCUAUCAACAGGGACGAAGAAAGUGACGGUACCUGAAUAAGAAGCCCCGGCUAACUACGUGCCAGCAGCCGCGGUAAUACGUAGGGGGCAAGCGUUAUCCGGAAUUACUGGGUGUAAAGGGAGCGUAGGCGGCACGCCAAGCCAGAUGUGAAAGCCCGAGGCUUAACCUCGGGAUUGCAUUUGGAACUGGCGAGCUAGAGUACAGGAGAGGAGAGCGGAAUUCCUAGUGUAGCGGUGAAAUGCGUAGAUAUUAGGAAGAACACCAGUGGCGAAGGCGGCUUUCUGGACUGAAACUGACGCUGAGGCUCGAAAGCGUGGGGAGCAAACAGGAUUAGAUACCCUGGUAGUCCACGCCGU